Molecule: ribosomal RNA, 284 nt
Filed under: uncultured Bifidobacteriaceae bacterium
Lineage: Bacteria; Bacillati; Actinomycetota; Actinomycetes; Bifidobacteriales; Bifidobacteriaceae
Description: partial 16S ribosomal RNA
Rfam family: Bacterial small subunit ribosomal RNA
Source: RNAcentral
CAAGUCGAACGGGAUCCAUCAGGCUUUGCUUGGUGGUGAGAGUGGCGAACGGGUGAGUAAUGCGUGACCGACCUGCCCCAUACACCGGAAUAGCUCCUGGAAACGGGUGGUAAUGCCGGAUGCUCCGACUCCUCGCAUGGGGUGUCGGGAAAGAUUUCAUCGGUAUGGGAUGGGGUCGCGUCCUAUCAGGUAGUCGGCGGGGUAACGGCCCACCGAGCCUACGACGGGUAGCCGGCCUGAGAGGGCGACCGGCCACAUUGGGACUGAGAUACGGCCCAGACUCC